GGAAAGUUCAUAUUUUUUUUCAGAUUUCGGCUACAAAUACCAAAUACCGACAACACUAUUUUCCCUUUUUAAACCCCGAUUUUGAUCCAUUUCACCUUUCGAUUCAAAACCCAUAAGCUAAUUUUUCUAAAAAACUCUAAUCUAAUAAAUAGUUAAAGUUCGAUCUUGAAUGUUCCUUUAUAUUUCUUUUCCAGCUUUUGAGGUUUGCAAUUUCC
RNAcentral lists this long non-coding RNA (215 nucleotides) under Gossypium barbadense (sea-island cotton). RNAcentral's name for it is "long non-coding RNA (GBAR_LNC005030)". The record is from RNAcentral. Lineage: Eukaryota; Viridiplantae; Streptophyta; Magnoliopsida; Malvales; Malvaceae.